This 305-nucleotide ribosomal RNA is filed under the name uncultured bacterium. RNAcentral describes it as "bacterial SSU rRNA". It matches the Rfam family "Bacterial small subunit ribosomal RNA", at positions 338 to 659 of the family's 1533-position model. The record is from RNAcentral.
CCUACGGGGGGCAGCAGUGGGGAAUAUUGCACAAUGGGGGAAACCCUGAUGCAGCAACGCCGCGUGAGUGAGGAAGUAUUUCGGUAUGUAAAGCUCUAUCAGCAGGGAAUAGAAAAGAAGGUACCUGAAAAAGAAGCCCCGGCUAACUACGUGCCAGCAGCCGCGGUAAUACGUAGGGGGCAAGCGUUAUCCGGAUUUACUGGGUGUAAAGGGAGCGUAGACGGCUGUGCAAGCCAGAUGUGAAAGCCCGGGGCUCAACCCCGGGACUGCAUUUGAAACUGUCGUUCUUGAGUACUGGAGAGGUU